CUACUGCGCAUGUGCGUUUCUCUGAGGCGGCCGUUUAACCGUGGUGGCUGCGUGUGCGCAUGCGCACUAGCAUGCGCGGAAGGACGAAUGGUAGCGCUGGAGUGGGCAUUGCGAUGCAACCACUGUCUUCCGCCCCGGUUACCAUGGUACCGGUGGGCAAGUGGAUGUUGGUGUCUAUGGGAACGGGUCAGAGCAGCUGAAGAGAGGACAGCCUCGGGAGGAAGAACUGUUACACAUUUUAAAGUCAAAACCCAGGUGAGUUUCCUUGCUGUUCAUUAAAUGACUGUGUUUAUAUGACUUAAAACUACUCACUUUCCUUGGCCCAAAUUAUC
RNAcentral lists this long non-coding RNA (332 nucleotides) under Cavia porcellus (domestic guinea pig). Its description in RNAcentral is "lncRNA (ENSCPOG00000037109.1)". Lineage: Eukaryota; Metazoa; Chordata; Mammalia; Rodentia; Caviidae. The record is from RNAcentral.